Molecule: non-coding RNA, 27 nt
Filed under: Rattus norvegicus (Norway rat)
Lineage: Eukaryota; Metazoa; Chordata; Mammalia; Rodentia; Muridae
Source: RNAcentral
UCUCUACACGUGCUUCCGUUCCUCCUA